GUGGGGAAUCUUCCGCAAUGGACGAAAGUCUGACGGAGCAACGCCGCGUGAGUGAUGAAGGUCUUCGGAUUGUAAAGCUCUGUUAAUCGGGACGAAAGAGCCUAGUGUGAAUAAUGCUAGGAAGUGACGGUACCGGAAUAGAAAGCCACGGCUAACUACGUGCCAGCAGCCACGGUAAUACGUAGGUGGCAAGCGUUGUCCGGAAUUAUUGGGCGUAAAGCGCGCGCAGGCGGAUCUGCCAGUCUGUCUUAAAAGUUCGGGGCUUAACCCCGUGAUGGGAUGGAAACUACAGAUCUAGAGUAUCGGAGAGGAAAGUGGAAUUCCUAGUGUAGCGGUGAAAUGCGUAGAUAUUAGGAAGAACACCAGUGGCGAAGGCGACUUUCUGGACGAAAACUGACGCUGAGGCGCGAAAGCCAGGGGAGCGAACGGGAUUAGAUACCCGAGUAGUCC
This 450-nucleotide ribosomal RNA is filed under the name uncultured bacterium. RNAcentral describes it as "partial 16S ribosomal RNA". It matches the Rfam family "Bacterial small subunit ribosomal RNA", at positions 354 to 796 of the family's 1533-position model. The record is from RNAcentral.